Molecule: long non-coding RNA, 1171 nt
Filed under: Anas platyrhynchos platyrhynchos (common mallard)
Lineage: Eukaryota; Metazoa; Chordata; Aves; Anseriformes; Anatidae
Description: lncRNA (ENSAPLG00000026971.1)
Source: RNAcentral
CCUUCAUCUCUGCAAGUGUCAAAACAUUAAUUUGUGUCAAGAACAUAUGCUUUCAGUACUUAAAACAAGCUUGUUUUUGUGCUGUUGCUCUGCCUUGUUAGUUCUUACACUUCAAUUGUCUAGAAAGGUUGCCCCUCUCUACUAUAAAAAAAAAUAAAAAAAGCCAGGAAUAAUUUCACCACUGAUUGAAUGAAUGCAAUGAACAGUCAUUCCUCGCUGAGAAAGGCUGAGCCUCCUGCCAUUGUUCUCUUGACAAAUAGUGAAUGUCCUCCCUUUCCACUGUCUGACCUUGACUAAUUGUGGAGAAUUGGUGCAGCUGUCCCUGGCUCAUUCAGGGCUGCAACACAAGGGCAUGUAAGAAACUUUAAGCUGCCAUCAUAAAACUCCAGUUUGAGGACUUCAUCACAAUGCAUGGUGCUCACUUUUUUGUUGCUGCUGUUUAGCUUGUUGCUAUUUACUUCCUCUGAUAGUGUAUUUUAUAGUCACGCUGUUUUCUUCUCAUUUGCUUUUGUAUGCAUCUGGAAUACGUAGAUUGUAGUGAGAGUAUUUCUAAAAGAGAUAGGUAAAGUCACAUGGAGAAAUACUUAUAAAACCAUCAAUUAAAAAGCACCAAACUCUCUUCAAGUAGAUAGAUUCAGAUGUGUACAACGAGUAUCAUGAGCAAGUCAGUCAUAACACAAUGCAGAAGAUGAGGUGAUUCAGCAGUAUUCUUGAAAACAAAGUACUCAGAGCUUGUAAAUCCUCAAGGCAAGUGACUUUUUACUCACUAUCCAGACAACAUCCAGACCAGAUCUCAUUUGAAGUUUCUCAGUGAUCCAAACAGACAAAUGCCCAGCUGGAACUUGAGCUCUCCAGAAGUGGUCAGAGUGCAGAGUGUUGUGUCUCCAUUGCCAAAAUAUCUGGAGAGAUUCCUUUGCAAAGGGAAGGCAUUCUCAUUGGUAGAAGAAAAAGAAAUAGCAAUAUAUUUGCAGUAUCUUUGCUGAAGUAUGUUUGCUUUUGUUCAUGUUUUUCUAAUCGAGAAAAUUUUUGUUUAUGUUCCAAUGGAAAGAGUAAGAGAUAUUGUUCCAAGCAUGCCACUGAAAGACAGAUCUUUCUCUCAGUAAAAGAGGUCUGUUGGCCCUCUGUGACAGUGAUGAUAUAAAAAUGCCAUUUACUUGAUUUUUAAUGAAAG